Molecule: ribosomal RNA, 253 nt
Filed under: uncultured bacterium
Lineage: Bacteria
Description: partial 16S ribosomal RNA
Rfam family: Bacterial small subunit ribosomal RNA
Source: RNAcentral
UACAGAGGUCUCGAGCGUUAGGCGGAAUCACUGGGCUUAAAGCGUGUGUAGGCGGGUCGUUAAGUACCUUGUGAAAUCCCAUGGCUCAACCAUGGAACUGCUGGGUAUACUGGUGAUCUUGUGCAACCUAGGGGCGAGCGGAACAGAUGGUGGAGCGGUGAAAUGCGUAGAUAUCAUCUGGAACGCCAAUGGUGAAAACAGCUCGCUGGGGGUUUGCAGACGCUGAGACACGAAAGCCAGGGGAGCGAACGGG